RNAcentral lists this ribosomal RNA (305 nucleotides) under uncultured bacterium. Its description in RNAcentral is "bacterial SSU rRNA". It matches the Rfam family "Bacterial small subunit ribosomal RNA", at positions 333 to 655 of the family's 1533-position model. The record is from RNAcentral.
CGGGGCCUACGGGACGCAGCAGUGGGGAAUAUUGCGCAAUGGGGGAAACCCUGACGCAGCAACGCCGCGUGCGGGAUGAAGGCUUUCGGGUUGUAAACCGCUUUCAGCAGGGAAGAUAAUGACGGUACCCAAGGAGGAAGCACCGGCUAACUACGUGCCAGCAGCCGCGGUAAAACGUAGGGUGCAAGCGUUGUCCGGAAUUACUGGGUGUAAAGGGAGCGCAGGCGGAUUGACAAGUUGGGAGUGAAAACUACGGGCUCAACCCGUAACCUGCUUUCAAAACUGUCAGUCUUGAGUGGUGUAGA